RNAcentral lists this long non-coding RNA (2259 nucleotides) under Equus caballus (horse). Its description in RNAcentral is "lncRNA (ENSECAG00000060385.1)". The record is from RNAcentral. Lineage: Eukaryota; Metazoa; Chordata; Mammalia; Perissodactyla; Equidae.
UGGAUGUUAAUAAGCUCGGGUCUGUGGCAGCAACAACUAUCUUCACUCCCAGCCUGCAGAGGUGAGCUACCAGUGAACUUCUUAAUGAUACGGAGCAUUCUCACCAGAAUGAGAUGAAUUCUCACCUCUCACCAGAGCAUACCUAAAUGUCCUUGGUGAAUAGUGUAUCCUCGCGUCCCUCCUGUGGUACCUUGGAUUCAGGAGUCAGCCGUCCAUGUCGUAUUCGAAGAUGCUCACUCUUUCCAACUCUGCUUGAAAUGGCCAACAAGCAAAACUGGGGCAAACCUUUGGACUGGGACGAGACCUGCAAUUGUUUUACAAACUAUUGUUUGAGAAGUCAGCAGGAAAACAGACAUCCUGAUCACAAGGACCGAAGAUUGUGGACUUUCUGAAGAAAGGAAGUAAAACCAGAGAGACGUGAUUUGAUUGGACACUGUGCAUGGAACUAAAUUGAGUCAUUGAUUUGGGAGAAAACUUGAGGACAGGUCUGCUUGGGAUUCUGAGACUUGGAAGAAGGCAUGGUGUCAUCCUGAUGGGCUGAAGUGAAGAUUUAUACUCUGUCCCAGGCAGCUUUCGCGUGAUCUUUGUGCAGUCUGGGUUUUCAGCAAGGCUGCUCCUUAGCCUCAGCAGGUUAAAGGCUACAGCAAGGCAUUCAGCGAGCCAGCCAACAAAGAGAAAGCGGAUUAUAAUCAUGAGGAUGGACAUUUGGUUUUGAUAAAUCAAUGAGAAGCAAUAGGACUUAUUGGAGUACACACGGAAGCCAUUUGAUGUAAAACUAAUUCGGCCUGACCUUGUUUUUCCAAAAGGGUCUGAUGUGGCCUGUUAAGCAUCUCUCCCUAAACUCAGGAUUAAUUACUGACCUGCUCUGCUCAACCUGUGACGGUUCACCUUGUGACUGCCAGCCUGCUGUGCUCACUGAUCUGCAGUGCCAGCUAAGCACCUCAUGACAAUUGCAAAAGGGACCUUCCUACAUAUGUGAUGUGUGCUCUUUGUUCCAGAAGACAUAUCACCACUCUGUACAGCCACUUCUUUGGUGCCCUUCCUUUCUUGGGGAAGGAAGGCCCCAGGCUAGUCCUCAGAUCUGGCUCAUAAUAAACUCACCGCAAUUUUGAUUUAUAGAUUGAUUAUGGAUUAUUUCUGUCAACAGUUUAUUUGCCCUUUUGGAUAAUGCUGCUAUGAACAUCUGUGUACAAAUUUUUGAGCAGACAUAUGUUUUCAUUUCUUUCGGGUAUACACUUAGGAGUGGAAUUGCUGGGUCAUAUGGUAACUCUAUGUUUAACUUUUGGGGGAACUGUCCAACUAUUGUACAAAGCAGAUGUGUCAUUUCGUAUUCCCACUAAUAAUGUAUGAGUGUUCAAAUUUCUGCACAUUCUCUCAAACAAUUGUAAUUAUCCAUCUUUUUUUUAAUCUGUCUUUUUGAUGGACAAUUGUGUGUCUUUUUAAUUACAUGAAGUAUGUGUCCUGGUGUCUCACUGCGAUUGUGAUGUGCGUUUCCCUAAUGACUAAUGAUGCUGAAUAUCUUUUUGUGUGCUUGUUUGCUAAUUGUACACCUUCUUUGGAAAAAUUUCUCUUGAACUCCUUUGACCAUUUUUUAAUUGGGUUGUCUUUUUACUGUUGAGUUAUAAUGAGUUCUUUUUAUAUUCUAGAGACUAGUGUCUUUUCAGAUUUAUCCUUUGCAAAUAUUUUCACACAUUCAACGUGUUGUCUUUUCACUUUCUCGAUACUAUCUAUUGAAGCAGAAAGUUUUUAAGUUUUGAUGAGGUCCGUCUAAUUUUCUUUCGUUGCUUGUGCUUUGGUGUCAUAUCUAAGAAAUUGUUACGUAGACCGAAGAUGUGAACAUACAAUAUAUGUAUUCUUCCAAGAGUUUUAGAGUUGUAGCUCUUAAUUUUGACCUUUGAUCAAUUUUUAGUUAAUUUUUGUAUAUAAUAUGAGGUAGGGUCCAACUUCCUUCUUUGCAUUUGAAUAUCCUGUUGUCCCAGCACCAUUUGGUGAAAAGACUAUUCUUUCCUCAUUGAAUUCUCUUUACUCCUUUAUUGAAAAUUAAUUCACCAUAAAUAUGAGAGUUUAUUUCUGUACUCUCAAUUCUAUCCCAUUGAUCUGUGUAUCCAUGCUUACCAGUACCACAAUGUCUUUUCUUUCUUUUUUAAAAAUUUUGUUAAUACCCUGAUCCUUAUUUCUUCAGCUUUAUUAUGGUAUAAUUAGCAAAUAAAAUUAUAAGAUAUUUAAAGUGUACAGCAUGAUGAUUUGAUAUAUGUAUAC